UUCAAAACGUAUUUACACGUUUUGAAACUAACAUAUAAAAUACACAAACCAUAUUUUUCCCUUCAAUUAUAAAAAAUUCACCUUAAAAAUUCGCUUUCAAAUUUAGCGCCAGUUUUAGUUCCCGACCCAGCCAGUAGAUGCUGACAUUGUGACCAACAUAAAAGCAUUAGAGAUCGUGUUCUAUAGAGAGGGUAUUCUAUGUCAUAACCACAAUUUUUGGAUGAUAUAUUAGUUCUGUGAUAUUGAUUCACAUUAGGUUGUAUGUAUCUGUGGACUGGUUUUUUUGUAUUUGUUAUUAAUAAUGACAGAAAGACAUGUGUUAACAAUAGGGGUAAUUGCCAUUUUUUUUUGUUGGAGAAAAUUCUUUACAGUCAAAUAAUGUAGUGAAAGUCAAUUGGUAUACUGAAUUAAAUGUGCUUGAAGAGUUUAUUCGAGCUAUAAUGCGAGAAGAUUAUGAUAUUCCUUAAGAGAGGCAACAUGUGAAACCCCAAGAGGUGCAUUUGUAUGUCACCAUAUGGCUAAUUGGCUACACCUGCCCUACACGGACGUUAUAAUGUAUUUUGGACCAAUAAUUUGCGUGCUUGGGACGUACAUCUGAAGAAAAGUGAAUCAGCUGAAGUCAGAGCUGUUGUCUCUGAAAAUUCUUUUAAUCCCCAAAUCAGCCUAAAAACAGCUAAUGUUGAGGUACAACUUCAUGAAAGCUUACGACAAACUGAUGGGAGCGAAGCACUGCGUUGGCUAUUGGGCCUUGAACCAGAAAGAUCUGAAGAAAACCUACUUCACAGUGUCGAAGAACUAUUAGUGUCCGAGGACUAUUAAAUGGCCCAUCAACAGUUUGCGGGUCAGUUUUUCACCAAAAGUGAAUCAGAUUAUUUUGCAUUAGGAAGUGCAAUUUUUUAUUGUUGAAUAUUUUUUUUGUUUUGAAAUAAAUUGUUCUUUAAAU
Zophobas morio is the source of this 943-nucleotide long non-coding RNA. RefSeq lists it as uncharacterized. Lineage: Eukaryota; Metazoa; Arthropoda; Insecta; Coleoptera; Tenebrionidae. The transcript is spliced from 2 exons. The record is from RefSeq and is a predicted model, not a curated record.